Bombyx mori (domestic silkworm) is the source of this 497-nucleotide long non-coding RNA. RefSeq lists it as uncharacterized. The transcript is spliced from 2 exons. The record is from RefSeq and is a predicted model, not a curated record. NCBI's taxonomy places the organism in Eukaryota, Metazoa, Arthropoda, Insecta, Lepidoptera, Bombycidae.
UAAAAGUAUAUUUUUGUUACUUUGGGGUUGCCACCGAUAAAAAUAUAUCUCGAAUGACAAACGUUUAAAAUGCGUCUGUGUUACUUGUGAAUAAAACACUGAUUAAAAACCGUUAUUGACAUUAACAUGUAUAUUAAUAAUGGCAAUAAAAAAUACCAAGCAAAACCGCGCGAGAAACCCGCGCUACCAAACCGUUCGAUAUAAUAUUUAAUCUGUUGAUGUAAAAAUAAUGAUAAACUGAUAAGCGACAUUAUAAAGUGCACUAAUUCGUGUUGAAAUUCGCCAAUUUUAUUUAAUCAGUAUAUAAUACAAUAAUAAAGGAAAACUAACUGGAUAUUAGAACAUUAUUAAAAACAAAACAAGUACUAUAUGUAGGCAUUUUAAAAAGUUCCUAUUUAAAUUGUCAUCCGUGUUGACGUUAUCAAAUACGUAAAAUGAUAAUUAUAAAUGAAUAUUAUAUAAUAUUAUCAAUAAAUGAGCGAUUGACUUGAUUGUGA